This 329-nucleotide unclassified non-coding RNA is filed under the name plant metagenome. RNAcentral's name for it is "partial contains 5.8S ribosomal RNA, internal transcribed spacer 2, and large subunit ribosomal RNA". The stretch from base 1 to 105 matches the Rfam family "5.8S ribosomal RNA", at positions 50 to 154 of the family's 154-position model. The record is from RNAcentral.
GAAAUGCGAUAAGUAAUGUGAAUUGCAGAAUUCCGUGAAUCAUCGAAUCUUUGAACGCACAUUGCGCCCUCUGGUAUUCCGGGGGGCAUGCCUGUCCGAGCGUCAUUGCGAACCCCUCAAGCACGGCUUGUGUGAUGGGCCCUCCCGCGUCUUGGUCGUCAAGACGGGCCCGAAAUGCAGUGGCGGCUUCGCGGUUAUCCGAUCAGCCAGAGCGUAUGGGGACUUUCUCUCUGUCACACGCCCGCGGCGCGGACCGACGCCUGUCGACCUUCAUUCAUCGUUUUCUCGGUUGACCUCGGAUCAGGUAGGGAUACCCGCUGAACACAAGC